UACGGAAGGCAGCAGUGGGGAAUAUUGCACAAUGGGCGCAAGCCUGAUGCAGCCAUGCCGCGUGUAUGAAGAAGGCCUUCGGGUUGUAAAGUACUUUCAGUCGUGAGGAAGGUGUUAAGGUUAAUAACCUUAGCAAUUGACGUUAGCGACAGAAGAAGCACCGGCUAACUCCGUGCCAGCAGCCGCGGUAAUACGGAGGGUGCGAGCGUUAAAUCGGAAUUACUGGGCGUAAAAGGGCACGCAGGCGGUUAAUUAAGUUGGAUGUGAAAUCCCCGGGCUUAACCUGGGAAUGGCAUUCAAGACUGGUUAGCUAGAGUCUUGUAGAGGGGGUAGAAAUUCCAUGUGUAGCGGUGAAAAUGCGUAGAGAUGUGGAGGAAAUAACCGGGUGGCGAAAGGCGGCCCCUGGGACAAAAGACUGACGCUCAUGUGCGAAAAGCGUGGGGAGCAAAACAGGAUUAGAUACC
RNAcentral lists this ribosomal RNA (464 nucleotides) under uncultured bacterium. RNAcentral's name for it is "bacterial SSU rRNA". It matches the Rfam family "Bacterial small subunit ribosomal RNA", at positions 340 to 786 of the family's 1533-position model. The record is from RNAcentral.